RNAcentral lists this long non-coding RNA (249 nucleotides) under Cavia porcellus (domestic guinea pig). RNAcentral's name for it is "lncRNA (ENSCPOG00000038119.1)". Lineage: Eukaryota; Metazoa; Chordata; Mammalia; Rodentia; Caviidae. The record is from RNAcentral.
GGGAACUGUGAAGGAUAGAGGCACAUGUUAAAUGUCACCACGAGGAUAACUGAUUUGCAUCAUUCUCUUCAAGUCAACACCAUGAAAAAUUACAGAUAAAUGCAUGGUAGGUUCUACCGUUCUCAGCUCCAGCCUCCGGCAAGGUGUGCAUCCCAAAGCGCAAGGCCUUCCAGCCCCAUCUUACCACAUUAUUGACAAAAGCCGCAAGGGAGCUCCCAAGAGCCUCAUCUGACACGCGGUACAGUCACG